Molecule: ribosomal RNA, 303 nt
Filed under: uncultured bacterium
Lineage: Bacteria
Description: partial 16S ribosomal RNA
Rfam family: Bacterial small subunit ribosomal RNA
Source: RNAcentral
AGCAGUCGCCGCGGUAAUACGAAGGGGGCUAGCGUUGCUCGGAAUCACUGGGCGUAAAGGGUGCGUAGGCGGGUCUUUAAGUCAGGGGUGAAAUCCUGGAGCUCAACUCCAGAACUGCCUUUGAUACUGAAGAUCUUGAGUUCGGGAGAGGUGAGUGGAGCUGCGAGUGUAGAGGUGAAAUUCGUAGAUAUUCGCAAGAACACCAGUGGCGAAGGCGGCUCACUGGCCCGAUACUGACGCUGAGGCACGAAAGCGUGGGGAGCAAACAGGAUUAGAUACCCCCGUAGUCCCUGUCUCUUAUAC